UUCAAAGCCAUAUCACCCUGCAGCCCAAGACCGGUUCACUGAAGCUAAGCAGGUCUGAGCCUGUUUAGUAACUAGAUGGGUGACCACAUGGGAAAACUAGGUUGCUGUUGAAA
RNAcentral lists this ribosomal RNA (113 nucleotides) under Danio rerio (zebrafish). The record is from RNAcentral. Lineage: Eukaryota; Metazoa; Chordata; Actinopteri; Cypriniformes; Danionidae.